RNAcentral lists this long non-coding RNA (828 nucleotides) under Junco hyemalis (dark-eyed junco). RNAcentral describes it as "lncRNA (ENSJHYG00000013003.1)". The record is from RNAcentral. Lineage: Eukaryota; Metazoa; Chordata; Aves; Passeriformes; Passerellidae.
AUGGCCAGCAGUGUGAGUCUUCAACAUUGUCAUUGCCCAUGUGGCCAGAGAAUUAAAAAUAUAAAUACAAGGACUGGAUCUGUGUGUGGAUACCAGCUGGGAGCUCACCAGGACAGUGCAAAUGUAACCAUGGUGUUCACACGAGCUGCAUGGCCCUGGGGUAAGCUUUAUCCCGUUUCCAGCUCCUUUUAUCAGCAGCUCAAGGACACCAUGACCAAGGCCUCUGUGCUGCUCAGCAUUAUGUGGAAGCCCAGCAAAGCAGCACAUGUUUUAUCCAAAGGAUAUUGCCAUGUACCAUCCAUCCAAACCUCUGGAUAUCUACUGCAAAUCCUGUCGCGGUCAGGAAAGAACUGGGAAGCAGAGAACACAAAGGAAAACCCGUGGUUUUCUCUUAAGAAAAGGUUUCUUCACGUUUUGCUGCGUAUCCACGCGUGCGGGGUGAGUCCGUGACACAGCUCACGGCAGAGCAGGAGCUCACAGUCGGCAGGCAGCCCGGACCCGAGAACAGGAAAUAUUUUUGGAUGGAAAUUUGGCCCGGUUCCCCCCCAGUGAUACCCCGUCCAUCAGGAAUGGUAUCAAACCUGUGCCUUACAGAGGGAUGCUUCCAGAAUGGAGCUUUCUGGACCAAAGCAGACAAAUAGAAAUUGAAAAGUAUCAUUCUGCAUGUUUGAGCCACUGCUGCAGUGUUUGGAAAAUGCCAGUGAAAAUGAGAAACUGGGAUGGGAGGAAUGGAGAGAAAAAAAUCAAAGGAUGAAACAGCCUUCAGGAAGUCAGAAGGAAAAAAGGUUAUAAAUAAUGUGAGUUAAAUAAAUAAUGUGAGUUAAAACA